AAAAAAAUAGAAAAUCUUAAAAAGUAAACAAAUUUACAUAUACUAAUUUAUAUGUCUAUAUAUUUAUAAACAAUUAACAUUUAUUCAACAAAAGCAAAAUUAACAAAUUUGUCUUUAACUCAUGUAAUCAUAAGUGAAAAUAGAACACUUUGAGAAAAAUAGCUUAGCUUAUAGGAUUUAACUUUUCAAUUAUUUUCAUUUAUUAAUUUUAACUCAUUUAAUAUUAAUUUGCAUGAUGUAAAAUUAACUUACGAGAUUACGUGGGUGAUUGGUUUGUCUGUAACUGUAGAUUUACUGCUGUAGAAUUUUUGUUGUAGGUGUGAUGACUGUAGCUGUAAGUUUUAUUGCUGUAGAAAUUAGACUGUAGGUUUUAUUAAUAUAAUUAUUACUUAAAGAAAUUGGGUAGAAAUAAGAUUUUGGUUGUAUGUAUUUUUAAACAAAAAAAUAUUAUCGGGUCGGGUUCGGUUUGGGUUCGGGUUCGGGUUCGAGUUAUUUAUAUAUUGAAAUAUCAAAUUUUGUGUGCAAAUCUAUUAAAUUACUUGAAAUUUUCAAAAAUUCCCAAAACAACAUGAGUAGUUUUGCUUGAAUAUAUCUAAAAAUACACAAAAAUAACUAAAAUAUCCAAAAAAAUUCUAAUAUUUUCUAUAUAUAAGUAUAAAUAUAACUAAUAUAUACUUAUAUUUGAGAUAUGUUUGCAUACCUAUUCGGGUUUGGGUUUGAGUUUUUCGGGUUUUAAAGUUUAUAUCCGUUCGAGUAUUUGAAAAUUUCGGGUACACCCGCCUAAAUAGGCGGACCUUAUCUAGUAUAUAUAUACAUUUGAACUAUAUUGUUUACUUUUUAGUUGAUUUAGGCUAUGUAUGACAUUGACAUAAAUCUACCUGUUAUUUAUCACGUGUAAUUC
Molecule: small RNA, 901 nt
Filed under: Arabidopsis thaliana (thale cress)
Lineage: Eukaryota; Viridiplantae; Streptophyta; Magnoliopsida; Brassicales; Brassicaceae
Description: ATSL129090
Source: RNAcentral